Molecule: ribosomal RNA, 1066 nt
Filed under: Limosilactobacillus fermentum
Lineage: Bacteria; Bacillati; Bacillota; Bacilli; Lactobacillales; Lactobacillaceae
Description: bacterial SSU rRNA
Rfam family: Bacterial small subunit ribosomal RNA
Source: RNAcentral
CGCAGGCGGUGUGCCUAAUACAUGCAAGUCGAACGUGUUGGCCCAAUUGAUUGAUGGUGCUUGCACCUGAUUGAUUUUGGUCGCCAACGAGUGGCGGACGGGUGAGUAACACGUAGGUAACCUGCCCAGAAGCGGGGGACAACAUUUGGAAACAGAUGCUAAUACCGCAUAACAACGUUGUUCGCAUGAACAACGCUUAAAAGAUGGCUUCUCGCUAUCACUUCUGGAUGGACCUGCGGUGCAUUAGCUUGUUGGUGGGGUAACGGCCUACCAAGGCGAUGAUGCAUAGCCGAGUUGAGAGACUGAUCGGCCACAAUGGGACUGAGACACGGCCCAUACUCCUACGGGAGGCAGCAGUAGGGAAUCUUCCACAAUGGGCGCAAGCCUGAUGGAGCAACACCGCGUGAGUGAAGAAGGGUUUCGGCUCGUAAAGCUCUGUUGUUAAAGAAGAACACGUAUGAGAGUAACUGUUCAUACGUUGACGGUAUUUAACCAGAAAGUCACGGCUAACUACGUGCCAGCAGCCGCGGUAAUACGUAGGUGGCAAGCGUUAUCCGGAUUUAUUGGGCGUAAAGAGAGUGCAGGCGGUUUUCUAAGUCUGAUGUGAAAGCCUUCGGCUUAACCGGAGAAGUGCAUCGGAAACUGGAUAACUUGAGUGCAGAAGAGGGUAGUGGAACUCCAUGUGUAGCGGUGGAAUGCGUAGAUAUAUGGAAGAACACCAGUGGCGAAGGCGGCUACCUGGUCUGCAACUGACGCUGAGACUCGAAAGCAUGGGUAGCGAACAGGAUUAGAUACCCUGGUAGUCCAUGCCGUAAACGAUGAGUGCUAGGUGUUGGAGGGUUUCCGCCCUUCAGUGCCGGAGCUAACGCAUUAAGCACUCCGCCUGGGGAGUACGACCGCAAGGUUGAAACUCAAAGGAAUUGACGGGGGCCCGCACAAGCGGUGGAGCAUGUGGUUUAAUUCGAAGCUACGCGAAGAACCUUACCAGGUCUUGACAUCUUGCGCCAACCCUAGAGAUAGGGCGUUUCCUUCGGGAACGCAAUGACAGGUGGUGCAUGGUCGUCGU